AGUCGUAACAAGGUCUCCGUAGGUGAACCUGCGGAGGGAUCAUUACACAAAUAUGAAGGCGGGCUGGAACCUCUCGGGGUUACAGCCUUGCUGAAUUAUUCACCCUUGUCUUUUGCGUACUUCUUGUUUCCUUGGUGGGUUCGCCCACCACAAGGACAAACAUAAACCUUUUGUAAUUGCAAUCAGCGUCAGUAACAAAUUAAUAAUUACAACUUUCAACAACGGAUCUCUUGGUUCUGGCAUCGAUGAAGAACGCAGCGAAAUGCGAUAAGUAGUGUGAAUUGCAGAAUUCAGUGAAUCAUCGAAUCUUUGAACGCACAUUGCGCCCUUUGGUAUUCCAAAGGGCAUGCCUGUUCGAGCGUCAUUUGUACCCUCAAGCUUUGCUUGGUGUUGGGCGUCUUGUCUCUAGCUUUGCUGGAGACUCGCCUUAAAGUAAUUGGCAGCCGGCCUACUGGUUUCGGAGCGCAGCACAAGUCGCACUCUCUAUCAGCAAAGGUCUAGCAUCCACUAAGCCUUUUUUUCAACUUUUGACCUCGGAUCAGGUAGGGAUACCCGCUGAACU
This 562-nucleotide ribosomal RNA is filed under the name uncultured fungus. RNAcentral's name for it is "eukaryotic LSU rRNA". The stretch from base 211 to 364 matches the Rfam family "5.8S ribosomal RNA". The record is from RNAcentral. Lineage: Eukaryota; Fungi.